Molecule: long non-coding RNA, 716 nt
Filed under: Populus trichocarpa (black cottonwood)
Lineage: Eukaryota; Viridiplantae; Streptophyta; Magnoliopsida; Malpighiales; Salicaceae
Description: long non-coding RNA (PTRI_LNC003560)
Source: RNAcentral
GACCAGUCCACCUAACACAUCCACACAUGCACCUAGCUUGAGAGUGUCAAUGGAGCAAGUCUCUUGUUUUGGUGGUGGUGGUGGAGGUGGAGGACAUGGUGUUUCAGGUGGUGGAGGGUUCACAAUAGGUGGUGUUGGUGGCUUUAUUGGAGGAGUCACUGGAGGCUUUGGUGGUGGAAGAGUUGGUGGUGCUGGUGGCAUUAUUGGAGGAGUCACUGGAGGCUUUGGUGGUGGAAGAGUUGGUGGUGUUGGUGGUGUUGGUGGCAUUAUUGGAGGAGUCACUGGAGGCUUUGGUGGUGGAAGAGUUGGUGGUGUUGGUGGCAUUAUUGGAGGAGUCACUGGAGGCUUUGGUGGUGGAAGAGUUGGUGGUGUUGGUGGCUUUAUUGGAGGAGUCACUGGAGGCUUUGGUGGUGGAAGAGUUGGUGGUGGAAGAGCUGGAGGUGUUGGUGGCUUUAUUGGAGGAAUCACUGGAGGCUUUGGUGGUGGAAGAGCUGGUGGUGUUGGUGGCAGAACUGGUGGUUUGGGCACAUAUGGUGGUUUUGGUAUGAAGGGCGGAUGCACAAUGGGUGGUUUCGGUUUGAAGGGCGGAUGCACAAUGGGUGGUUUCGGUUUGAAGGGCGGAUGCACAAUGGGUGGUUUCGGUGUAUAGGGCGGAUGCACAAUGGGUGGUUUCGGUUUAAACGGGGGAUGUACAAUGGGAGGUUUGGGAACAACAG